UAAUUACAACAACAAGUUCUUAUUACAGUUAGCAAUAUCAAUGCCUCUAAACAGUAAUAUUAAGCAAAAUUAAGCAAAUCAUAUAUGCAUCCAUAAAAUUGAACCUGGAUUUCAAAUACCUAAUUACAACAAGUUCAUAUUACAGUUAGUAAUAGCAAUGCUCUACACAGUAAUAUUAAGCAAAAUUAAGCAAAUCAUAUAUGCAUCCAUAAAAUUGAACCUGGAUUUUGAAGAUUGAAUGUGAAUUUGAAUGUUAAACGAAGCUGAAAGAAGUUGAACGAAGCUUGAGAGGUUGAGAGAUUUAGGGAUUCGAACAAAAUUUAAACGAAGCCUGAAUGUUGAACCAAAUUUGAACCAAGCUUGAGAUGAAUCUGAACGUAGCUUGAGAGAUUUAGGGAUUGGAGCUUGUGAGUGAGUACCAAAGGAUUGAAGAAGCUUGAAAACGAAUCUGAUUUUGAGAAUAUCGCAGAUUUAGGGAUUUAGGGAUUGGAGCUUGUGAGCUUUAACCAUGAGAGAUUUUGAGAAUAUCGUCGGUGAGUGAGAUCCAAAGGAUUGAAAACGAAUCUGAACUUGUGAGUGAGAACGAAGUAUUGAAAAAAGAGGGAAGAAGUGAAAUAGCGCGGGUUUGUCGAUCGACUUCUCGACGGAGGGUGAAGAGAAGUGUAGAUGCGAGAAUUAGACCUAAGACAAGGGCAGGGGUUUAAGAAAAUUACCCGAUGUUUCAAGUUCUGCGUUUGGGUAUCUUCUCGAUUUUGGGGGAAAUUAAAAUUAUUCUACGUAUUUAUUUUCCU
Molecule: long non-coding RNA, 791 nt
Filed under: Trifolium pratense (red clover)
Lineage: Eukaryota; Viridiplantae; Streptophyta; Magnoliopsida; Fabales; Fabaceae
Description: long non-coding RNA (TPRA_LNC008128)
Source: RNAcentral